Molecule: long non-coding RNA, 304 nt
Filed under: Vigna radiata
Lineage: Eukaryota; Viridiplantae; Streptophyta; Magnoliopsida; Fabales; Fabaceae
Description: long non-coding RNA (VRAD_LNC013571)
Source: RNAcentral
GAAAGCACAGUGUUGGAAGUCCCACGUUGACUAGAGAUAAAGCCAAUUUAUAAUAUAUAAGUGGGGUGCAUACCUCACCUUACAAGCCGGUUUUGUGGGGUUGAGUUAGGCCUAAAACCCACUUCUAACAUGGUAUCAGAGCUAUGGUUAGAGCCUAUCCUAGCGAUAUUUGUUGGGCAGAUUGUUCCACCCGUUAUUGGACCGUUAUUGGACCACCCAUUAAUAUCUUGUCUCACGCUCGAGAUGUAUAUAUCUCGGCGUGAGGGGUGUGUGUUGGAAGUCUCACAUUGACUAGAGAUAAGGC